Zea mays is the source of this 355-nucleotide RNA transcript. It is a transcript of the gene named Peptidase M1 superfamily pseudogene, with no coding region annotated. The transcript has 2 exons. The record is from RefSeq and is marked validated. Lineage: Eukaryota; Viridiplantae; Streptophyta; Magnoliopsida; Poales; Poaceae.
CCAAGUUGAAGCCGAAGAUGGCAGGGAUUGACCCUGAUGAUGUUUACUCUGAAGUGCCCUAUGAGAAAGGUUUCCAGUUCCUUUGGAGAAUUGAGCGUGAGAUUGGCAGGCCUACUUUCGACGAGUUUUUAAAGAAGUACAUUGCAACCUUCAAGUUCCAAUCAAUAGAUACAGAGACAUUUCUUGAAUUCCUCAAAACCAAUGUACCUGGGAUAGAAAACAAAAUUGACCUUCACCUGUGGGUUGAGGGGACUGGUAUCCCUCCCGAUGCCAUGGAACCAGAUUCAGCUACUUACAAAAAGAUCUGCUCCUUAGCUGCAGAAUUCAAAUCUGGAAAACUUCCAAGUGAAUAUGA